RNAcentral lists this non-coding RNA (46 nucleotides) under Trichobilharzia regenti. Lineage: Eukaryota; Metazoa; Platyhelminthes; Trematoda; Strigeidida; Schistosomatidae. The record is from RNAcentral.
GUACUGCUGAAGAGUCUCAAACUAGGACGAAACAGCUGUCCAGCAC